Molecule: long non-coding RNA, 801 nt
Organism: Brassica napus (rape)
Lineage: Eukaryota; Viridiplantae; Streptophyta; Magnoliopsida; Brassicales; Brassicaceae
Exons: 2
Source: RefSeq, a predicted model, not a curated record
UAUGGAGUUUACGUGUUUGUAACGUGCACAAUGUUGGAUUUAUUAGAAAAUAUUGUAAGAUUUAAUGUUUAAUAUUUAAUUUUAAUGUAAAUGGGGAAACGACAAUAGUAGAUUGAAUGGUAAUAGCAUAUUUUGUAAAUACUGUAGUAAAGAAAGGGGAGUUAAUUAUUUAGGUUGAGAAUCAUUGUGGGAUUGACACCUAGGCAUGUCAUGGAUGUAAAUAAAUUACAAAUUAAAUGUUACUCUCCCAAAAUGUAAAGAUAUUGUUUUAUCAAAACCAAAAAUCCAACCAAUUUAAUUUUCUUUGAACAAUAUAUACACACAAUCAAAUCUAACAAAUGUUUCUAAUAAUAAAAAAAUUAUAAAGCUAUAAAUAGGGAUUGUUCAUGUAAUCAGAGGCAUAAAAAAGAGACAAACAUAGAAGAUACACAAAACUAAAAAAAAAACAAAAGAUGGAGAAGAAGUGUAUAUCUAUGUUGAUGAUUAUGUUCAUUGCAUUGACGAUGAUGCCAUUACAAGCAAUGAGUGAAUCUUAUGAAGCUUGUUAUGAUAGGUGCAUUUCCUCGUGCCAGAUAUUUUUUGAAGGAGUUGAAAAAUGCAUUCACGAUUGUGUUGGUACCAAAUGUCAUAAAACACAUGUACUCCCUCGGAUGGUGGCUAAAGGGAUGUUUCAAGAAAUUCAUACAUAGAGAGAUAUGUUAUUAAACACACAUGAUGUUUAAGUUUACUACUCUUUGAUUUAUAUAAUUUUGAAUAAUAAAAUUCCUCCAUCAUUUAUAGAAUUCAAUUUUUUUCACAACA